This 688-nucleotide ribosomal RNA is filed under the name Ureibacillus aquaedulcis. RNAcentral describes it as "partial 23S ribosomal RNA". It matches the Rfam family "Bacterial large subunit ribosomal RNA", at positions 890 to 1574 of the family's 2925-position model. The record is from RNAcentral. Lineage: Bacteria; Bacillati; Bacillota; Bacilli; Caryophanales; Caryophanaceae.
AGAAUACUGGAGGUAGAGCACUGUUUGGACUAGGGGGGCAUCUCGCUUUACCGAAUUCAGACAAACUCCGAAUGCCAGAUAUUUAUACACGGGAGUCAGACUGCGAGUGAUAAGAUCCGUAGUCAAAAGGGAAACAGCCCAGACCACCAGCUAAGGUCCCAAAGUAAUCGUUAAGUGGAAAAGGAUGUGGCGUUGCUUAGACAACCAGGAUGUUGGCUUAGAAGCAGCCAUCAUUUAAAGAGUGCGUAAUAGCUCACUGGUCGAGUGACGCUGCGCCGAAAAUGUAUCGGGGCUAAACGAUUCACCGAAGCUGUGGAUGGACAUCUUAGAUGUCCGUGGUAGGAGAGCGUUCUAAGUGCGUUGAAGUCAGACCGGAAGGACUGGUGGAGCGCUUAGAAGUGAGAAUGCCGGUAUGAGUAGCGAAAGAUGGGUGAGAAUCCCAUCCACCGUAUGACUAAGGUUUCCUGAGGAAGGCUCGUCCGCUCAGGGUUAGUCGGGACCUAAGUCGAGGCCGAUAGGCGUAGACGAUGGACAACAGGUUGAUAUUCCUGUACCACCUCCCCGCCGUUUGAGUAAUGGGGGGACGCAGUAGGAUAAGAUAAGCGUACCGUUGGUUGAGUACGCCCAAGCAGUAAGGCGUGGAAGUAGGCAAAUCCGCUUCCUGUAACGUUGAGCUGUGAUGGGGAGC